This 450-nucleotide ribosomal RNA is filed under the name uncultured bacterium. RNAcentral's name for it is "bacterial SSU rRNA". It matches the Rfam family "Bacterial small subunit ribosomal RNA", at positions 355 to 825 of the family's 1533-position model. The record is from RNAcentral.
UCAAGAAACUUCCACAAUGGGCGAAAGCCUGAUGGAGCGACGUCGCGUGAUGGACGAAGUGCUUCGGCACGUAAACAUCUUUUAUGUGGGAUGAAAUUAUUGACAGUACCACAUGAAUAAGGGGCUCCUAACUCUGUGCCAGCAGGAGCGGUAAUACAGAGGCCCCAAGCGUUAUCCGGAAUCACUGGGCGUAAAGGGUGUCGAGGCGGUUGUAUUAGUCGUUCGUAAAAUCUACGAGCUUAACUUGUAGGCGGCGAACGAAACGGUACGACUUGAGGUUUGGAGAGGUGCGUGGAACUCACGGUGUAGGGGUGAAAUCCGUUGAUAUCGUGGGGAACACCAAAGGCGAAGGCAGCGCACUGGCCAAAAUCUGACGCUCACACACGAAAGCUAGGGUAGCGAAGAGGAUUAGAUACCCUAGUAGUCCCUGAGCGGGCUGGCAAGGCGCAU